UCGUUUGGGCCUCAUGCCCAAACAGCCCGGCAUCAACAAAUUGUGCCCACACAGACAGACAUCAACAAGCGAACAACUCAACAGCAUGAACUAAAACGCUUAUCCUCAUAACUUGCAGCAAAAGGAAUAACCACUUCUCAUAACUUGACGCCAACAAAUAGAAGAGAAACACGUCUCAUAAACUCCACACGUAGAAUCGCGUUUUCAUCCUUGCAUCCAUCUUCACCUCCGCCUUCUUCAAAUUGCAGCGCACCAAGUCAAGAAACACGAAUCCACUUCAUCGAUUCGCAACUCGGAAUCAUAAUCAAACCUCAAUUCGAUAUCGUGCGGGUGUGCAAACUGAAGAAAAAUAAAAAGCGUCAAAGUCAAAUCGAAGACUCACCACAUUAAACAGGUACCGAACUUUUUCGUUUCGAUUUCAAUUCUUGCAUGCGAUAUUUGCAUGCGUUUUACAUUUUUUGUGUGAAUUCUUGAUGCUGAGAGUAAGGAACGAUUGAAGAAAUUUUAUGUUGCGUGAGUGCUAUGCAUGUUGCGUAUGCUUGAUUGUGAAUGAAUUAUGAUUGACGAAUUUCUCUGUUGCGUGAUACUUUCUCUUCUCUUCUGAAAUUUUUCUGUUACCCUGGUGAAUGAACAAAAUCGAUUUAAUGAAGAAAAGUUGAUUCAUUGAUAUGUGAUGAUGCUUGUAUUUAUAAGGUUCUGAUUCUAUUUGAAAUUCACAUGAAACUCAGCUUGAAAUGCAGUAGUCAGUUACAAAUGAAAUAUUUAGUUGGAAAUUCAAAUUGAAAUGUAAUUGAUUUUAAGUCGAAUUUGGUGUUGCAAUUUUGUUAAGUGUUGUUAAGUUCAGUUAGGAGUUCGUUUAGUUGUGAGAAGAGUUAUACUAUGCUUCUGUUGGAAUAUGUUAAUUAGUGAUGGAAUGUUAAUCAGUUGCAGGGUAAUUGGAGUGCAUUUGGAACUGUUUUGCAGGCCAUGGACUGUUAUGGAGAAAAACAGGCAGUUAUGUAACUUCACAGGAUUAGAGUUAACAUAAGCCUCCACAUGGGCUCCAGAGCAGAAUGACUUUUUUUGUGACGUACAGAUUACCUGUGGCAACAACAGAGGACACUUGAAAUGAGGAGAAGCAUUAGUGAGUGUGUAUGAGGAAGAAGUAGAAGGUGAUGACGUGGCAUGAGUUGGAUUUGGAAAGUUCAUAGCUUAAUAAUUGAUAAAUCAGCAACAGCAGCAAUGUAUAGGUUAGGCUUUGUUUGUGGUUAUGUUGUCCUAAUGGUAAUGUGGUUUGGAAUGGACAUGUAUUGGCUUGUGAACAUGGUUUCAAAUGUUUGGUUUUUGAAUGUAUAGGUUGGUUUGAAAUUGUAUGUAUAAAUUGGUUUGAAAUUGCAAUGAAUUUGGUUUAAUGAUUGUAAAUUGAAACAAUGGUUGAAUAUUCUAAUGUGAAAGAGUGGUUGAAUUGUAUAUGGAAUUGUAUGGUUGAAUGAAAUAUUGUAAUCAAUGGUUACGUCACUUGGAAUGAACAGACUUAUUUGAAAAUAGUCAUGGAUUAUAUGGAAUUGAACUUUGAA
Molecule: long non-coding RNA, 1556 nt
Filed under: Lathyrus oleraceus (garden pea)
Lineage: Eukaryota; Viridiplantae; Streptophyta; Magnoliopsida; Fabales; Fabaceae
Description: Pisum sativum (pea) long non-coding RNA (PSAT_LNC011302)
Source: RNAcentral